RNAcentral lists this long non-coding RNA (3730 nucleotides) under Sorghum bicolor (sorghum). Lineage: Eukaryota; Viridiplantae; Streptophyta; Magnoliopsida; Poales; Poaceae. The record is from RNAcentral.
GAUGCGAUCAUACCAGCACUAAAGCACCGGAUCCCAUCAGAACUCCGAAGUUAAGCGUGCUUGGGCGAGAGUAGUACUAGGAUGGGUGACCUCCUGGGAAGUCCUCGUGUUGCAUUCCUUUUUUUUGUUUGUUUUUUCAAAAGAAAGGUCUUUCUUUUUAUUUUUGGCCGUUCCUUUGUCAUAUUUUCUCCGCGUUCCUAGGCGGCGCCGUCGAAGGAGCUAUGGGCAGGCCGUACACGGAGGCGCGGGCAUAAAGGGGAGGAGAACGCACGGUAUGUCGGAUGCGAUCAUACCAGCACUAAAGCACCGGAUCCCAUCAGAACUCCGAAGUUAAGCGUGCUUGGGCGAGAGUAGUACUAGGAUGGGUGACCUCCUGGAAAGUCCUCGUGUUGCAUUCCUUUUUUUUGUUUGUUUUUUCAAAAGAAAGGUCUUUCUUUUUAUUUUUGGCCGUUCCUUUGUCAUAUUUUCUCCGCGUUCCUAGGCGGCGCCGUCGAAGGAGCUAUGGGCGGGCCGUACACGGAGGCGCGGGCAUAAAGGGGAGGAGAACGCACGGUAUGUCGGAUGCGAUCAUACCAGCACUAAAGCACCGGAUCCCAUCAGAACUCCGAAGUUAAGCGUGCUUGGGCGAGAGUAGUACUAGGAUGGGUGACCUCCUGGGAAGUCCUCGUGUUGCAUUCCUUUUAUUUGUUUGUUUUUUCAAAAGAAAGGUCUUUCUUUUUAUUUUUGGCCGUUCCUUUGUCAUAUUUUCUCCGCGUUCCUAGGCGGCGCCGUCGAAGGAGCUAUGGGCGGGCCGUACACGGAGGCGCGGGCAUAAAGGGGAGGAGAACGCACGGUAUGUCGGAUGCGAUCAUACCAGCACUAAAGCACCGGAUCCCAUCAGAACUCCGAAGUUAAGCGUGCUUGGGCGAGAGUAGUACUAGGAUGGGUGACCUCCUGGGAAGUCCUCGUGUUGCAUUCCUUUUUUUUGUUUGUUUUUUCAAAAGAAAGGUCUUUCUUUUUAUUUUUGGCCGUUCCUUUGUCAUAUUUUCUCCGCGUUCCUAGGCGGCGCCGUCGAAGGAGCUAUGGGCGGGCCGUACACGGAGGCGUUUGUUUUUUCAAAAGAAAGGUCUUUCUUUUUAUUUUUGGCCGUUCCUUUGUCAUAUUUUCUCCGCGUUCCUAGGCGGCGCCGUCUAAGGAGCUAUGGGCGGGCCGUACACUGAGGCGCGUUGCAUAAAUGGGAGGAGAACGCACGGUAUGUCGGAUGCGAUCAUACCAGCACUAAAGCACCGGAUCCCAUCAGAACUCCGAAGUUAAGCGUGCUUGGGCGAGAGUAGUACUAGGAUGGGUGACCUCCUGGGAAGUCCUCGUGUUGCAUUCCUUUUAUUUGUUUGUUUUUUCAAAAGAAAGGUCUUUCUUUUUAUUUUUGGCCGUUCCUUUGUCAUAUUUUCUCCGCGUUCCUAGGCGGCGCCGUCGAAGGAGCUAUGGGCGGGCCGUACACUGAGGCGCGUGCUUAAAGGGGAGGAGAACGCACGGUCUGUCGGAUGCGAUCAUACCAGCACUAAUUCACCGGAUCCCAUCAGAACUCCUAACUUAAGCGUGCUUGGGCGAGAGUAGUACUAGGAUGGGUGACCUCCUGGGAAGUCCUCGUGUUGCAUUCCAUUUAUGUCGUUUCUUUUUUCAAAAGAAAGGUCUUUCUUUUUAUUUUUGGCCGUUCCUUUGUCAUAUUUUCUCCGCGUUCCUAGGCGGCGCCGUCGAAGGAGCUAUGGCCGGCCCGUACACGGAGGCGCGAGCAUAAAGGGGAGGAGAACGCACGGUAUGUCGGAUGCGAUCAUACCAGCACUAAAGCACCGGAUCCCAUCAGAACUCCGAAGUUAAGCGUGCUUGGGCGAGAGUAGUACUAGGAUGGGUGACCUGAUGGGAAGUCCUCGUGUUGCAUUCCUUUUUUUUGUUUGUUUUUUCAAAAGAAAGGUCUUUCUUUUUAUUUUUGGCCGUUCCUUUGUCAUAUUUUCUCCGCGUUCCUAGGCGGCGCCGUCGAAGGAGCUAUGGGCGGGCCGUACACGGAGGCGUUUGUUUUUUCAAAAGAAAGGUCUUUCUUUUUAUUUUUGGCCGUUCCUUUGUCAUAUUUUCUCCGCGUUCCUAGGCGGCGCCGUCGAAGGAGCUAUGGGCGGGCCGUACACGGAGGCGCGGGCAUAAAGGGGAGGAGAACGCACGGUAUGUCGGAUGCGAUCAUACCAGCACUAAAGCACCGGAUCCCAUCAGAACUCCGAAGUUAAGCGUGCUUGGGCGAGAGUAGUACUAGGAUGGGUGACCUCCUGGGAAGUCCUCGUGUUGCAUUCCUUUUUUUUGUUUGUUUUUUCAAAAGAAAGGUCUUUCUUUUUAUUUUUGGCCGUUAAUUUGUCAUAUUUUCUCCGCGUUCCUAGGCGGCGCCGUCGAAGGAGCUAUGGGCGGGCCGUACACGGAGGCGUUUGUUUUUUCAAAAGAAAGGUCUUUCUUUUUAUUUUUGGCCGUUCCUUUGUCAUAUUUUCUCCGCGUUCCUAGACGGCGCCGUCGAAGGAGCUAUGGGCGGGCCGUACACGGAGGCGCGGGCAUAAAGGGGAGGAGAACGCACGGUAUGUCGGAUGCGAUCAUACCAGCACUAAAGCACCGGAUCCCAUCAGAACUCCGAAGUUAAGCGUGCUUGGGCGAGAGUAGUACUAGGAUGGGUGACCUCCUGGGAAGUCCUCGUGUUGCAUUGCUUUUUUUUGUUUGUUUUUUCAAAAGAAAGGUCUUUCUUUUUAUUUUUGGCCGUUCCUUUGUCAUAUUUUCUCCGCGUUCCUAGGCGGCGCCGUCGAAGGAGCUAUGGGCGGGCCGUACACGGAGGCGCGGGCAUAAAGGGGAGGAGAACGCACGGUAUGUCGGAUGCGAUCAUACCAGCACUAAAGCACCGGAUCCCAUCAGAACUCCGAAGUUAAGCGUGCUUGGGCGAGAGUAGUACUAGGAUGGGUGACCUCCUGGGAAGUCCUCGUGUUGCAUUCCUUUUUUUUGUUUGUUUUUUCAAAAGAAAGGUCUUUCUUUUUAUUUUUGGCCGUUCCUUUGUCAUAUUUUCUCCGCGUUCCUAGGCGGCGCCGUCGAAGGAGCUAUGGGCGGGCCGUACACGGAGGCGCGGGCAUAAAGGGGAGGAGAACGCACGGUAUGUCGGAUGCGAUCAUACCAGCACUAAAGCACCGGAUCCCAUCAGAACUCCGAAGUUAAGCGUGCUUGGGCGAGAGUAGUACUAGGAUGGGUGACCUCCUGGGAAGUCCUCGUGUUGCAUUCCUUUUUUUUGUUUGUUUUUUCAAAAGAAAGGUCUUUCUUUUUAUUUUUGGCCGUUCCUUUGUCAUAUUUUCUCCGCGUUCCUAGGCGGCGCCGUCGAAGGAGCUAUGGGCGGGCCGUACACGGAGGCGUUUGUUUUUUCAAAAGAAAGGUCUUUCUUUUUAUUUUUGGCCGUUCCUUUGUCAUAUUUUCUCCGCGUUCCUAGGCGGCGCCGUCGAAGGAGCUAUGGGCGGGCCGUACACGGAGGCGCGGGCAUAAAGGGGAGGAGAACGCACGGUAUGUCGGAUGCGAUCAUACCAGCACUAAAGCACCGGAUCCCAUCAGAACUCCGAAGUUAAGCGUGCUUGGGCGAGAGUAGUACUAGGAUGGGUGACCUCCUGGGAAGUCCUCGUGUUGCAUUCCUUUUAUUUGUUUGUUUUUUCAAAAGAAAGGUCUUUCUUUUUAUUUUUGGCCGUUCCUC